GAACCUCUCAAGUACCUCAGAAAUGGGGAAAGAGAGAAGGGAAAUUGGGAUAAAAAAAAGGAGGCUGCAUCCUCCAAAAAUCUGAGAGAUCCCAGAGAAUGCCCCAUGGCUUCUCCCUUUAUUGAAAUAAAGUUCCAGGCUUCUCCCUUUAUUGAAAUAAAGUUCCAGGACUGCUCUGUCUCCUUUUUGGCCAUAAACCUCUGGUGUUUAUGGAUUAAUUUCCCUAAAAUCAGCUUUGUUAUCCCCCCCAGCCGUGCCGGGACCACCCCAUCCAUCCCACCCUGAUCCCUCCCCGCUGCAAUCCCCACCAGCUGCAGCAGCUGGGCGCUCUCCCUCUGCUCAUCCUCCUCUCGGGCUCUCCCAGCGAUCCCCGGCAUGCCCAGGGCUGGAAUUUGUGUUGGUGAGGAAUGUUCUGCACCGAGGAGCAGCUGGUGUGGCACAAGCGCCGAGCCCGUGGCUCUGUCCCCUGAUUGUGUCACAUUCCUGCCCUUUGCACGGGGCUUGCUCUGCACUUCCAGUCUGGGGCCUUCAGCUGCAUUUGCUGGAGUUUUUUUUUCUGUGAAUCUCUUCUCCUGGCAAUCUCUUUUCCUGUGAAUCUCUUUUCCUGGCAAUCUCUUUUCCCUGGGAAUCUCUUUUCCUGGGAAUCUCUUUUCCCUGAGAGUCUCUUCGCCCUGGGAAUCCCUUUUCCUGGGAAUCUCUCUUCUUGGGACUCUCUUUUCCUGGGAAUCUCUUUUCCUGGCAAUUUCUUUUCCUGGGAAUCUCUUUUCCUGGGAAUCUCUCUUCUUGGGACUCUCUUUUCCUGGGAAUUUCUUUUCCUGGCAAUCUCUUUUCCUGGGAAUCUCUUUUCCCUGGGAAUCCCGUUUCCUGGGAAUCUCCCUUCUUGGGACUCUCUUUUCCUGGGACUCUCUUUUCCUGGGAAUUUCUUUUCCCUGACAAUCUCUUUUCUUGGGAAUCUCUUUUCUUGAGAAUCUCUUUUCCUGGGAAUCUCUUUUCCCAGGGAAUCUCUUUUCCUUUCAGUUUCAAACUGGAUUUAAGGCACCGGAAUUGUGGCAUGGAAGGAGCGGCAGCAAUGGUUGGGAAUGACCCACAGGUGCCUGAGACAUCUCCCCCAGGGUGACAUCUCCCCUCUAAAGGGAGGAAAAUGAUGAAUGUGGAAGUCAGAGCCAGGCCAGAGACUGGGAUGCGGGAAAACCUCCCCAAAGUGCAUUUGUGCAGCAGGAAGGGAGCGGGGUGGGCACUCACAGGGCAAUGAGUGAGCACACACAUGACCAGGUAUUCAUUGACCAGGGGUGACAGGAGGGCAGCGGCCACAGAGCCAGUCUGGGUGUCACACACAGCC
Molecule: long non-coding RNA, 1339 nt
Filed under: Zonotrichia albicollis (white-throated sparrow)
Lineage: Eukaryota; Metazoa; Chordata; Aves; Passeriformes; Passerellidae
Description: lncRNA (ENSZALG00000001525.1)
Source: RNAcentral